This 918-nucleotide ribosomal RNA is filed under the name Streptococcus agalactiae. RNAcentral describes it as "bacterial SSU rRNA". It matches the Rfam family "Bacterial small subunit ribosomal RNA", at positions 1 to 902 of the family's 1533-position model. The record is from RNAcentral. Lineage: Bacteria; Bacillati; Bacillota; Bacilli; Lactobacillales; Streptococcaceae.
UUAAUGAGAGUUUGAUCCUGGCUCAGGACGAACGCUGGCGGCGUGCCUAAUACAUGCAAGUAGAACGCUGAGGUUUGGUGUUUACACUAGACUGAUGAGUUGCGAACGGGUGAGUAACGCGUAGGUAACCUGCCUCAUAGCGGGGGAUAACUAUUGGAAACGAUAGCUAAUACCGCAUAAGAGUAAUUAACACAUGUUAGUUAUUUAAAAGGAGCAAUUGCUUCACUGUGAGAUGGACCUGCGUUGUAUUAGCUAGUUGGUGAGGUAAAGGCUCACCAAGGCGACGAUACAAAGCCGACCUGAGAGGGUGAUCGGCCACACUGGGACUGAGACACGGCCCAGACUCCUACGGGAGGCAGCAGUAGGGAAUCUUCGGCAAUGGACGGAAGUCUGACCGAGCAACGCCGCGUGAGUGAAGAAGGUUUUCGGAUCGUAAAGCUCUGUUGUUAGAGAAGAACGUUGGUAGGAGUGGAAAAUCUACCAAGUGACGGUAACUAACCAGAAAGGGACGGCUAACUACGUGCCAGCAGCCGCGGUAAUACGUAGGUCCCGAGCGUUGUCCGGAUUUAUUGGGCGUAAAGCGAGCGCAGGCGGUUCUUUAAGUCUGAAGUUAAAGGCAGUGGCUUAACCAUUGUACGCUUUGGAAACUGGAGGACUUGAGUGCAGAAGGGGAGAGUGGAAUUCCAUGUGUAGCGGUGAAAUGCGUAGAUAUAUGGAGGAACACCGGUGGCGAAAGCGGCUCUCUGGUCUGUAACUGACGCUGAGGCUCGAAAGCGUGGGGAGCAAACAGGAUUAGAUACCCUGGUAGUCCACGCCGUAAACGAUGAGUGCUAGGUGUUAGGCCCUUUCCGGGGCUUAGUGCCGCAGCUAACGCAUUAAGCACUCCGCCUGGGGAGUACGACCGCAAGGUUGAAACUC